GAGUUCAUAUAGAUAUAAUGGCUAAACAGAUUGGAUUCACAAUAAUAGUGCUGGUAUUUUUAUUGAUAACAGUAAAGAUUAAUGGAGGAAACAGAUAUCUAGCUGUUACUACUACUCCCUCUACAGAGUCCCCUGCUCCCUCUCCGUCUCCAUCGGAAUCACCACUUGCAAUGCCACUUGUUGCUCCUGUUCCAGCAAAAGCACAAUAUGUACUAAACAGCAGGGUGGGAGGCAUACAGUAAGAGUUCACCACAUCAAGAGUUUCACCCCAGAAUCAUUAUAUGUGUACAUCGCGUGAUUUCUAUGACUAACAGCGUCAUUUCUUGAAGAACUUGUCAUAUGACUUUCUGGCUCUUACUUUUUUUCCUUUGUAUCCUUGUUUAAUUAGAAUCGUCUGAAUUGUGUGUAAGAUAUGGACAAUGUAGGUCUCUUGUUGUAAA
RNAcentral lists this long non-coding RNA (440 nucleotides) under Daucus carota (carrot). Its description in RNAcentral is "long non-coding RNA (DCAR_LNC004392)". Lineage: Eukaryota; Viridiplantae; Streptophyta; Magnoliopsida; Apiales; Apiaceae. The record is from RNAcentral.